GAAAUGCCCGAACUCGACGGUAGGCCUA
RNAcentral lists this small RNA (28 nucleotides) under Bombyx mori (domestic silkworm). RNAcentral's name for it is "ovarian small RNA-2654". The record is from RNAcentral. Lineage: Eukaryota; Metazoa; Arthropoda; Insecta; Lepidoptera; Bombycidae.